This 254-nucleotide ribosomal RNA is filed under the name uncultured bacterium. Its description in RNAcentral is "partial 16S ribosomal RNA". It matches the Rfam family "Bacterial small subunit ribosomal RNA", at positions 524 to 776 of the family's 1533-position model. The record is from RNAcentral.
UACAGAGGGGGCAAGCGUUAUUCGGAAUUAUUGGGCGUAAAGGGCGCGUAGGCGGCCUGGCAAGUGGAUGGUGAAAUCCCUCGGCUUUAACCGAGGAACUGCCAUCCAGACUGCUUGGCUUGAGACCGGGAGAGGUGAGUGGAAUUCCCAGUGUAGCGGUGAAAUGCGUAGAUAUUGGGAGGAACACCAGUGGCGAAGGCGGCUCACUGGACCGGUACUGACGCUGAGGCGCGAAAGCGUGGGGAGCAAACGGG